RNAcentral lists this long non-coding RNA (1163 nucleotides) under Salmo salar (Atlantic salmon). RNAcentral's name for it is "lncRNA (ENSSSAG00000111899.1)". The stretch from base 1036 to 1089 matches the Rfam family "UnaL2 LINE 3' element". The record is from RNAcentral. Lineage: Eukaryota; Metazoa; Chordata; Actinopteri; Salmoniformes; Salmonidae.
UGCCAACUUGGAUGUCUGCCGAGUUCUACACAUAGGUUUUGAAAACAACUUGACUGUUUGGGGUUUGAACUACUUUCACAAAAAUAUGCAGCCUCUGAUAACCUGCCCAAUACUACAACUUCGAAAGACUGGUCCCCUUGUGGAAAAUAGGCAUGCUUUCUUCAAAUGGAUGGGUGUUGAAAUAUGCCUAGCCUUGAAACGUGUGUGUUUAUUAAUGAUGAUGACGAUGAAUAUUAUUAUUGACCUAAUAUUUAACUAUCGAUGAACUACAGUUCCUCAUCCCCAUACUGUUAUUUAUUGUAUUUAUUUUGCUCCUUUGCACAGCAGUGUCUCUACUUGCACACUCAUCUUCUGCACAUCUAUCACUCCAGUGUUUAAUUGCCAUAUUGUAAUUAUUUCGCCACUAUGGCCUAUUUAUUGCCUUACCUCCCUUAUCCUACCUCAUUUGCACACACUGUAUACAGAUUGUUCUAUUGUAUUAUUGACUGUAUGUUUGUUUAUUCCAUGUGUAACUCUGUGUUGUUGUUUGUGUCGCACUGCUUUGCUUUAUCUUGGCCAGGUCGCAGUUAUCAUUAACGACCACCUGCAACAUUAUUCUAUGAUUCCAUGUCUGCGUCUGAAAUGUUUCAUCUCCAUUUUAGUAAUUUAGCCGACACUCUUAUCCAGAGUGACUUACAAUUGGUCCAGGUCAAAAGUAGUGCACUAUAUACGGUAGUGUGACCUCUACUGCGUAACAUUUCAUUAUGUUUCAGCGUGAAAAGUUCUCAAGGGCACACAAAUCCAAAAUAACGUAGGCCUAUGCCAUUGCAAAAUCGAAUGCUUCUAACUGAAUUUUAACCUCAUCUGAGAGUCACGUUAUAGGCCUACUGUCCAUAACGUAUACUUGUUGGAUGGAUUGGCUGUGCAUUAGUGUCUAAUGGUAGGCUAGCUGUCUAGUGUCCCGUGUGGCUCAGUUGGUAGAGCAUGGUGUUUGCAACGCCAGGGUUGUGGGCCAGUACGGGGGAAAAAUAAUUUAAUUUUUUUUAAUGAAAUGUAUGCAUUCACUACUGUAAGUCGCUCUGGAUAAGAGCGUCUGCUAAAUGACUAAAAUGUAAAUGUAAUGUGCCAUCUCAGACUCAACCCAUGUUUGCCUAGUUUGCCUGACUUGCCUAGUUAAAUAAAGG